Molecule: ribosomal RNA, 253 nt
Filed under: uncultured bacterium
Lineage: Bacteria
Description: partial 16S ribosomal RNA
Rfam family: Bacterial small subunit ribosomal RNA
Source: RNAcentral
UACGAAGGGGGCUAGCGUUGCUCGGAAUCACUGGGCGUAAAGGGUGCGUAGGCGGGUCUUUAAGUCAGGGGUGAAAUCCUGGAGCUCAACUCCAGAACUGCCUUUGAUACUGAAGAUCUUGAGUUCGGGAGAGGUGAGUGGAACUGCGAGUGUAGAGGUGAAAUUCGUAGAUAUUCGCAAGAACACCAGUGGCGAAGGCGGCUUCCUGGGCCGCGCCUGACGCUGAGACGCGAAAGCGUGGGGAGCGAACGGG